RNAcentral lists this long non-coding RNA (458 nucleotides) under Penaeus chinensis. Its description in RNAcentral is "uncharacterized LOC125037536". Lineage: Eukaryota; Metazoa; Arthropoda; Malacostraca; Decapoda; Penaeidae. The record is from RNAcentral.
GUUGCGCCUUCGCUUUGUUGCCCUUCUCGCUGCCUGCUUCGUGGUAGUCAUGGCGAGCCAGAAUUGCACCCGUUACUGCCAGACUCCUGGGCAGACUGACCUGUGCUGUGAUCCCCCACCUCCCCCUCGCUGCCCCUACCCCCCUCCGUGCAUCGACUUCUUCGACGACAAGAUCCCCUUCUGCUACAGUGACCACCAGUGUCCACUGGGCCAGAAAUGCUGCACAGACGCCUGUUCCCAAAGGAAAGUUUGUUUGCCCGUCUGAGCCAUGCCCCGCCGAGUGCAUGGCCGCAGGACACAAGCUCUGGACCGACUGUUGAGGAACCGCGUGCUUGGCCAUUUUAUCGUUUUCUUGCUUGUGCUUCUCAUUCGUUUCUUUGUUAUUUUCCCUGUGGACGCCACCAAGACCUUUCUUCUGUUGGCUUAACAACUCUAAUCUUAAAUGCACAAUAUGAUCA